RNAcentral lists this transfer RNA (73 nucleotides) under Ailuropoda melanoleuca (giant panda). It matches the Rfam family "tRNA". Rfam says of the family: Transfer RNA (tRNA) molecules are approximately 80 nucleotides in length. Their secondary structure includes four short double-helical elements and three loops (D, anti-codon, and T loops). Further hydrogen bonds mediate the characteristic L-shaped molecular structure. tRNAs have two regions of fundamental functional importance: the anti-codon, which is responsible for specific mRNA codon recognition, and the 3' end, to which the tRNAs corresponding amino acid is attached (by aminoacyl-tRNA synthetases). tRNAs cope with the degeneracy of the genetic code in two manners: having more than one tRNA (with a specific anti-codon) for a particular amino acid; and 'wobble' base-pairing, i.e. permitting non-standard base-pairing at the 3rd anti-codon position. Lineage: Eukaryota; Metazoa; Chordata; Mammalia; Carnivora; Ursidae. The record is from Rfam by way of RNAcentral.
ACCUGGCUGGCUCAGCCGGUAGAGCAUGUGACUCUUGAUCUUGGGGUCAUGAGUUCAAGUCUCAGGUUGGGCA